AAUCCUGUGAUGAGGACACUUACAAAGUAAUUUUUUGAGUCUCUCCCAUGCCUCGUACAAGGGCUCAUCAUCCAUUUGUUGAAAAGUGGUGAUCUCGUUUCGCAACU
Molecule: small nucleolar RNA, 107 nt
Organism: Gossypium arboreum
Lineage: Eukaryota; Viridiplantae; Streptophyta; Magnoliopsida; Malvales; Malvaceae
Rfam family: Plant small nucleolar RNA R71
About the family: R71 is a member of the C/D box family of snoRNAs containing the C (UGAUGA) and D (CUGA) box motifs.
Source: Rfam